CAGGGUACCCUCCGACCCUACUUAGUUCAACCAAAUGAACUAAACUUUCAAAAAUGAAGUAAAUUAUGAAAUUUUAGUUCAUUUAGUUGAACUAAAGAGGGUCGGAGGGUACCCUC
Molecule: non-coding RNA, 116 nt
Organism: Triticum aestivum (bread wheat)
Lineage: Eukaryota; Viridiplantae; Streptophyta; Magnoliopsida; Poales; Poaceae
Source: Rfam